GCCCCCAUCGUCUAGUGGACUAGGACGCCGCCCUUUCAAGGCGAAAACAGGGGUUCGAAUCCCCUUGGGGGCA
This 73-nucleotide transfer RNA is filed under the name Anaerolineae bacterium. Its description in RNAcentral is "tRNA-Glu". It matches the Rfam family "tRNA". Rfam says of the family: Transfer RNA (tRNA) molecules are approximately 80 nucleotides in length. Their secondary structure includes four short double-helical elements and three loops (D, anti-codon, and T loops). Further hydrogen bonds mediate the characteristic L-shaped molecular structure. tRNAs have two regions of fundamental functional importance: the anti-codon, which is responsible for specific mRNA codon recognition, and the 3' end, to which the tRNAs corresponding amino acid is attached (by aminoacyl-tRNA synthetases). tRNAs cope with the degeneracy of the genetic code in two manners: having more than one tRNA (with a specific anti-codon) for a particular amino acid; and 'wobble' base-pairing, i.e. permitting non-standard base-pairing at the 3rd anti-codon position. Lineage: Bacteria; Bacillati; Chloroflexota; Anaerolineae. The record is from RNAcentral.